This 342-nucleotide unclassified non-coding RNA is filed under the name soil metagenome. RNAcentral describes it as "partial contains 5.8S ribosomal RNA, internal transcribed spacer 2, and large subunit ribosomal RNA". The stretch from base 1 to 120 matches the Rfam family "5.8S ribosomal RNA", at positions 35 to 154 of the family's 154-position model. The record is from RNAcentral.
GAUGAAGAACGCAGCGAAAUGCGAUAAGUAAUGUGAAUUGCAGAAUUCAGUGAAUCAUCGAAUCUUUGAACGCACAUUGUGCCCGCUAGUAUUCUGGCGGGCAUGCCUGUCCGAGCGUCAUUUCAACCCUCAAGCCCCCGGGCUUGGUGUUGGGGAUCGGCGAGCCUCCGCGCCCGCCGUCCCCUAAAUCUAGUGGCGGUCUCGCUGUAGCUUCCUCUGCGUAGUAGCACACCUCGCACUGGGAAACAGCGCGGCCACGCCGUUAAACCCCCAACUUCUGAACGUUUGACCUCGGAUCAGGUAGGAAUACCCGCUGAACUUAAGCAUAUCAUAAGCGGAGGA